Molecule: long non-coding RNA, 1038 nt
Filed under: Olea europaea subsp. europaea
Lineage: Eukaryota; Viridiplantae; Streptophyta; Magnoliopsida; Lamiales; Oleaceae
Source: RNAcentral
CUUGCAUUAUAUAGUGUGUGUUUCUGAUUACAAUGAUCAAUCUUAGCCAUUACACUAAUCACUCUAGCCAUUAAACUAAUCACGCUACCGUUACAAUAAUUACUCCUCUACACUUACAAAAUCAUGCCUAACUAGGAAAGGGAAAAGAUGGGAGAAUUGGAUAAUCCAUAAUUAGAUCCCUACUGAUAUUCCCCUUUAAAUUGAUGCUGGUCGAUCAAGAAGCAUCAAUUUGUUUACAAGAAAUUGAUGACGAUUUCGCAUUAGAGAUUUUGUAAAAAUGUCAGCUUUCUAAAGAGCAAUGGAAAUGUAAGGAAGAGAAAUGACACAAGUAUCCAAAGCCUCACGAAUAGAAUGGCAAUCCACUUCAAUAUGCUUAGUUCGCUCAUGGUAAACCGGAUUAGCAGCAAUCUGAAUGGCACUUGUGUUGUCGACAUGGAGUGGAGUAGGAAGAGAUUGAGGAAAACCAAGUUCGGCAAGAAGCCCUUGAAGCCAUAUAAUCUCGGAACAAGCAGCAAGCAUCACCCGAUAUUCAGAUUCAGUAGAUGACUUGAAAACAGGAUCUUGCUUCUUACUUUUUCAAGAUAUCAGAGAAUCACCAAGAAACGUGCACCACCCGUGACAGAACGUCGAGAGUCUGGACAACCAGCAUAAUCAACAUCACUAUAAACAGUAAGACAAAGAGAAGAGCCGGCAAGAAAGAAAAAUUCAAGACUAGAUGUGCCUCGAAAAUAGCCAAUGUUACGACGAAUGGCAGCUAGAUGGAGAUGAUGUGGAAUGUGCAUGAACUGGCUAACUUGCUGGACUGCGAAAGAAAUAUCAGGUCUCCUAAUAGUCAAAUAAUUCAAGCUCCCCACUAGUUGACGAUACACGGUAAGAUCAGAGAGAAGAUCACCUUCCUCACAGUAGAUGAAUCCUGAAGACCGGCCAACUUAAUCAAAUCUUGCGUGUAUUUAUGCUAAUUCAGGAAAAUAAUAGAGGAAUCCGUGUGAAGUUCCAACCCUAAGAAGUACAUAAGAGAUCCAAGAUCCUUCAUAUGAA